CUGCUCUCUCCUGCGCUCGCUCUCACUGCAAAACUAGGUCAAUUGGGAACCCACCUGCAUACUGAUUGCAGGCUGGCAUCAGGUAUAAAGCUAAGCUGGUGCUUCUCUGGACCAUUCCUCCCAUGCAUUCAGCGCAAAGCAGCAGUAAAUGCUGGCACUCUGCGACGGACUGAUCAGCAAGAGUAGAUCGUAUGACAGCCACAGCGCGGCAGGUUGUUUUAUUCCGGCGUUGCUUAGAGAGGUGCUUGUGUGAUCCUCCACCAGUGAGAGUAUAGCGCCUCCGGUCCUGGGGGUUUGAUCGCUGCCUUCACCUCCGUGGCAACUCACACAGCUUUAAUUGAAGAAUCAAGACGCCUGCCUAGCCGCUGUUGUGAGGACUCCUCCUCAGUGGAGCCUGCUGUCUUGUCUUGUCUGGUUUUGAAUUGUUUUAUCGUGUCUUAUCUUGUUUUAUUAAGUAGGCCUACCAUUUCCUGGUUCGCCUGGUUUUAUUUUAUCUCUGGACUGUUGCGUGUGCCCACGCUUCUGUGAUCGGGCUGAAGCAAUCCUUUGCCCGAGUGUCGUACCGGGAAUUUUAAAUUGCCUCCGUUGCUGGUCUUAGCCUGUGGGGAGCCAGACCAGCUUGCGAUUGAGGCUUGGACAACUACUACCAGUACGAGUGGACCCGUGGGGCAUAAGCCUUCCAGUGUGGUGUGUGUGCGGUUUCUUUUAUUAAAGUGUGUUUUUAGUUUUUAUGAUCUGUAGCGAGCCAGACGCUCAGUGUCCCUUUUAUUCUUUUAACAUAUUUCUGUUUUAUUUCAGUGGACGAAGGACGUGCCAGUGGCCCUGGGACCUCAGGUGGUGAGUCGUUUUCACACUUUCUUUUGUACAGCACCUGGUGGGCUGCAGUGAUUUUUGUUUUGUGUGAUUUUCUUUUGGGUCCACGGCUGCUGGUAAGUCCAAGUUCCAUGAUUGUUUUAUUUUCACUUUAGGACACUGUCAACAAUGACGCUACAUCUUGGUUUCUAAAUAUUUUAUUUUUACUAUAAAUAAAACUGUUUUAAUAUUGGAGCCAACCUGCCUCAGUGUGCAUCCUUGAAUCUGUGUGGCCUCUUUUUAUUCCUUUUUUUAAUCUAUUUUUCUUAAACAUAUAUUUCCUGGGGGUGAAAUUCCCUUAGGUGGCGUUGUCAUUUUAUUAUUUCUUUUAGAACCCCGCCGACCACUUGGUCACAUUAUCAAAGGAGUGUUAUGAGACAGUAAUACAUGCCUUUGUUACAUCUAGGCUGGAAUAUUGUAACACACUUUAUUGUGGGGUUAGUGAUGCAUCCGUUGUUGUGGAAUAAUCUGUACUUGCACGUUAGGCAGGUUCUUUCUGAGUUUAAAACUUAUCUGAAAACAUAUUGAUUUGCUGAAGCCUUUGGCACUAUUUUAAGGGGUUGACUCAACUUUCUUUAAAAACAUUUUUAAUUUUUAUUUCACUUAUUUUUUUCAAAUCUACCUGUGUGUGUAUAUAUACAGUACUUUGUAAAGUGCUGUAUGAACUUUAACAUAAAACCAUAUAAAUAAAGCUGGUACGGUCGGAUGGAUGGAAUAAUAGAGGAGUAUGGAUAUCCAAUCUUGAGGAACGGAGAGGCAAGAGCAGUGAAAAAUAAGGAGAAGGCAAAUGUGUUGGCAAAAACGUUUGUUAAAAUCCACAGUUCAGGCAAUAUUAGAGAAGCAGGGCGAAGAGGAAGAGAAAUGCCAUCAUAGAGAAUAGGGAUUUACUGAAACAGAAGAUACGGAUGAUUUAUCAAAUCAGCUUAAAAAUGAGGUUGUGUCCAUACAUGAACCAGGAAAGGAUGAUACAAAUCCAGGAAAUUACAGAUUCAUGGCUUUAACAUCUGGCAUCUUUAAAAUAACGGAGCGAAUAAUAAAUGACAAAUUAAUGUAUUAUACAGAAAAUAAAGGAUGCAUAUCUAAACAUCAAAGUGGUUUCAGAAGAGGGAGGAAUACAAUGGAUAAAGAAAGGAGGGGACGAUGCUUGUAAUAACAUUCAAAGGAGAGCAGGAGAAAUGAGAAGCACAAUUUGGAGGAGGUGGUCAUGUCUAGAAUAAGGUUUGGACAUACUGGUUUGAACACAAAACUAUUCAUGACAGGGAAACAUGAUGCAGGGAAACGAGAUUACUGCAGAGAAGGGUGAACUAUAGAACAUGUUAGAUUACACUGUCAGAAAUAUCAGGUGGAGAGAAGGUAACUGAUCCAAAACCUCAGUAACAUAAAAAUGAAACUGGAUCUUAUUGAUUUACUGCAAAAGGACUCAAGACGUGAGUCUUAUCAGGCCCUAUUCCAGUUUUUAACACAGAGUAAACAUUUGGGGAGGGCUUGAGGAUCGACACUCCAUACUAGUUGGUGGCGGUAACGCACCAUUUUACUUUUUGCAAACCACCAAUAAAACUUAAAAAGAAGAAGAAGAAGAAUGUGUUAGUACCUUGGACUUUUCUGUGUCUUAUCGCAGUUUUAAAAAUUGGCACUUUUUGAAGAACCCACAUCAAAGUAUUGUGUUAAAUCCAAUUUAUGAAGCAGUAGGUGCAUGGCAUGGUCGUUGCUUUUUGUCAGUUCUGACGAGGACAGCUGAGUGAUGUUGUUGGUGAGCUUGGAUUAAAUCAUCUCUAAACAAAGAACUUGUCCUCGUGGUGACUGACUUGGGGAGUGGAGGUCAGUGAGCCCAUUGUCUCUGCUGGUCCGACUCCAACUACAAAGCCGGCCCGCUCGCCCCCUCCUGAGUCUGAGAGGAGAUCCAGAAGGGAAAUCUGAGUCAGUGUGGAUUUGGUUGUACAGCUCUCACACAUACAACCUGAACUACACAUUGUACGUGUGAUGUUCUUCAAAUUUGAACAAAGUAAAAACUAAAAACCUUUGAAGUCACACAAGCCAAUAUUUUAUUCACAAGUUGAACUUUUACUACUUUUAUCCGCAAAAUGAACUCACUUCAAAUAUUUACCACAGCAUAGCGUCCCCAGGCACCUGAGACGUUUGGCAGAUGGUGAAACUGUUUAUCUUUGUGAGGUAAGAGGGGGCACUUGGGGAUGAGCUGAAGGUAUAGACCUGAUGUCACUGUUUGGGUUCUUUGUCA
Molecule: long non-coding RNA, 3088 nt
Organism: Oreochromis niloticus (Nile tilapia)
Lineage: Eukaryota; Metazoa; Chordata; Actinopteri; Cichliformes; Cichlidae
Exons: 5
Source: RefSeq, a predicted model, not a curated record